This 70-nucleotide transfer RNA is filed under the name Camelus bactrianus (Bactrian camel). It matches the Rfam family "tRNA". From Rfam's summary of the family: Transfer RNA (tRNA) molecules are approximately 80 nucleotides in length. Their secondary structure includes four short double-helical elements and three loops (D, anti-codon, and T loops). Further hydrogen bonds mediate the characteristic L-shaped molecular structure. tRNAs have two regions of fundamental functional importance: the anti-codon, which is responsible for specific mRNA codon recognition, and the 3' end, to which the tRNAs corresponding amino acid is attached (by aminoacyl-tRNA synthetases). tRNAs cope with the degeneracy of the genetic code in two manners: having more than one tRNA (with a specific anti-codon) for a particular amino acid; and 'wobble' base-pairing, i.e. permitting non-standard base-pairing at the 3rd anti-codon position. RNAcentral also lists the same sequence under 2 other names. Lineage: Eukaryota; Metazoa; Chordata; Mammalia; Artiodactyla; Camelidae. The record is from Rfam by way of RNAcentral.
GGUAUAGCUCCAGUGGUAGAGCACGUGCUUAGCAUGCACAAUAUCCUGGGUUCAAUCCCCAGUAACACCA